This 229-nucleotide unclassified non-coding RNA is filed under the name uncultured Chytridiomycota. Its description in RNAcentral is "sequence contains ITS1". Lineage: Eukaryota; Fungi; Chytridiomycota. The record is from RNAcentral.
ACAAUUUUAGCAGGAGCUUGUCUUUAGAUGAGAUCCUGCGAAAAAUCAAUCACCUUUUGUGCACUGUCUGUCUCUGGCGGCCGGGGCAAAGUAACCUUCGUCUAGGUUGCAUAGCUCUGUCAGCUUGGUGCACUUGUGGACCAGGCCGUGGACAAACCGCCAACCAUUUUGUUUAACUCCCUGUUUUAAUCUCCUGUCUAACAAUUUUCUUUGUAUUAAACAUACAAUA